RNAcentral lists this transfer RNA (71 nucleotides) under Camelus bactrianus (Bactrian camel). It matches the Rfam family "tRNA". From Rfam's summary of the family: Transfer RNA (tRNA) molecules are approximately 80 nucleotides in length. Their secondary structure includes four short double-helical elements and three loops (D, anti-codon, and T loops). The record is from Rfam by way of RNAcentral. RNAcentral also lists the same sequence under 2 other names. Lineage: Eukaryota; Metazoa; Chordata; Mammalia; Artiodactyla; Camelidae.
GAAGGUAUAGCUCAGUGGUAGAGUGCAUGCUUAGCAUGCAUGAGGUCCUGGGUUCAACCCCAGUACCUUGG